GGGGCUAUAGCUCAGUUGGUAGAGCGCUUGCAGCUUGAAGGGUCUGGAGAGUGGUGCUGGCCAUCAGCCUUGCAAGCACAAGGCCCUGGGUUCAAUCCCCAGUACCCCUU
This 110-nucleotide transfer RNA is filed under the name Marmota monax (woodchuck). It matches the Rfam family "tRNA". Rfam says of the family: Transfer RNA (tRNA) molecules are approximately 80 nucleotides in length. Their secondary structure includes four short double-helical elements and three loops (D, anti-codon, and T loops). Further hydrogen bonds mediate the characteristic L-shaped molecular structure. tRNAs have two regions of fundamental functional importance: the anti-codon, which is responsible for specific mRNA codon recognition, and the 3' end, to which the tRNAs corresponding amino acid is attached (by aminoacyl-tRNA synthetases). tRNAs cope with the degeneracy of the genetic code in two manners: having more than one tRNA (with a specific anti-codon) for a particular amino acid; and 'wobble' base-pairing, i.e. permitting non-standard base-pairing at the 3rd anti-codon position. Lineage: Eukaryota; Metazoa; Chordata; Mammalia; Rodentia; Sciuridae. The record is from Rfam by way of RNAcentral.